AUUGAACGCUGGCGGAAUGCUUUACACAUGCAAGUCGAACGGCAGCACGGGUGCUUGCACCUGGUGGCGAGUGGUGAACGGGUGAGUAAUACAUCGGAACGUACCCAGUCGUGGGGGAUAACGUAGCGAAAGUUACGCUAAUACCGCAUACGUCCUGAGGGAGAAAGCGGGGGACCGUAAGGCCUCGCGCGAUUGGAGCGGCCGAUGGCGGAUUAGCUAGUUGGUGGGGUAAAGGCCUACCAAGGCGACGAUCCGUAGCGGGUCUGAGAGGACGGCCCGCCACACUGGAACUGAGACACGGUCCAGACUCCGACGGGAGGCAGCAGUGGGGAAUUUUGGACAAUGGGCGAAAGCCUGAUCCAGCCAUUCCGCGUGAGUGAAGAAGGCCUUCGGGUUGUAAAGCUCUUUCGGCAGGGAAGAAACGGCUUGGGAUAAUACCCCGGGCUAAUGACGGUACCUGAAGAAGAAGCACCGGCUAACUACGUGCCAGCAGCCGCCGUAA
This 502-nucleotide ribosomal RNA is filed under the name uncultured bacterium. Its description in RNAcentral is "partial 16S ribosomal RNA". It matches the Rfam family "Bacterial small subunit ribosomal RNA", at positions 29 to 523 of the family's 1533-position model. The record is from RNAcentral.